This 253-nucleotide ribosomal RNA is filed under the name uncultured bacterium. RNAcentral's name for it is "partial 16S ribosomal RNA". It matches the Rfam family "Bacterial small subunit ribosomal RNA", at positions 524 to 776 of the family's 1533-position model. The record is from RNAcentral.
UACAGAGGUCCCAAGCGUUGUUCGGAUUCACUGGGCGUAAAGGGUGCGUAGGUGGUGAGGUAAGUCGGAUGUGAAAUCUCCGAGCUCAACUCGGAAAUGGCAUUGGAAACUACCUUGCUCGAGGGUUGGAGGGGGGACUGGAAUGCUUGGUGUAGCAGUGAAAUGCGUAGAUAUCAAGCGGAACACCAGUGGCGAAGGCGAGUCCCUGGACAAUUCCUGACACUGAGGCACGAAAGCUAGGGGAGCAAACAGG